RNAcentral lists this ribosomal RNA (492 nucleotides) under uncultured bacterium. Its description in RNAcentral is "partial 16S ribosomal RNA". It matches the Rfam family "Bacterial small subunit ribosomal RNA", at positions 29 to 507 of the family's 1533-position model. The record is from RNAcentral.
AGUGAACGCUGGCGGUAGGCCUAACACAUGCAAGUCGAACGGCAGCACAGUAAGAGCUUGCUCUUACGGGUGGCGAGUGGCGGACGGGUGAGGAAUACAUCGGAAUCUACUUUUUCGUGGGGGAUAACGUAGGGAAACUUACGCUAAUACCGCAUACGACCUACGGGUGAAAGCAGGGGAUCUUCAGACCUUGCGCGAUUGAAUGAGCCGAUGUCGGAUUAGCUAGUUGGCGGGGUAAAGGCCCACCAAGGCGACGAUCCGUAGCUGGUCUGAGAGGAUGAUCAGCCACACUGGAACUGAGACACGGUCCAGACUCCUACGGGAGGCAGCAGUGGGGAAUAUUGGACAAUGGGCGCAAGCCUGAUCCAGCCAUACCGCGUGGGUGAAGAAGGCCUUCGGGUUGUAAAGCCCUUUUGUUGGGAAAGAAAAGCGGCAGGUUAAUACCCCGCUGUUCUGACGGUACCCAAAGAAUAAGCACCGGCUAACUUCGUG